UACUUACGAAUCGCUACUGCCGGUUGGUGGUGGAAUAGAACUCGCUGUGACUAUGGUAGGGGUGCUUCGAAAUCAUUCAGAAAAAUACCAGUUUCCCGACGGAUCACAUUGAUCGUGACGCUUUAUAGAUUUUUUCACUUCCUUAGACAUUAUUUUUUAAAUCGGAAGCAAAUUGGACUCCUCGAAUGAUACAUGGCUUCCGAGUCACACGUAGAAUUUAAAGGUGUGAGGAAUGUUAUGUAAAAGCAUUCAUUGAAGAUAAAUAGACCAGGAAUCUUACCGGGUUUGGUGUCACGUGAGCCUGAGUGUCGAAAACAUUCGUAGAUUGAAUUACCGACUGAAGUGCAAACGUUACGAAUGCACCAAAAGAUGGUGAUGGGUACUAGUAACCUACAGCGACUCACUGUCGUACCGACCACCGUCUUCUGUGCUAACGCCAUCGACAACUACCUAGUUUGUAGGAGUUUUCUUUUCCUCUAGCAGAUACUGUUACAAUUAACAAUUACUUAACAUACAGUUCCCAGUGAGAAAACUGGCUAGUGUAUUACCUAAAAAACAAAACAAGAACGGUGAAAUUACACGUGAAAAACGUCAAUUGUUAUUUGUUAUACCAUAUCUUUCUCGAGGUGCAAGGACAAAAGUAGUCGCCAAAUUUGCACGUAGGUGAACCGUGAAUGCAGAUGCACAGAUUAGACCUAUGAACUAUACACAUACAAAAUAAGAGGAAAACGAAGACCAGAUGCAUCAUAUUCAAGACACGAAUUCCUUGCUCCUUUCACCUGGCCAACGAGUUCCCUUUUCUCAUAAACGAAAAUUAUAUCGGCCGCGAAGUUAAUUGGCCGGCAAAAAUGAAGCUCUUCAUUAUGAAAAUAGAGGGUGGUCUAGUCAUUGAAGGAUGGAACUACUUUUCUCCUCUAAAUAGUAAUUAAUUGUCAGAUUUCUUCGUACGUUAUUAAUAACCUUGUAACGAGUUUCCUGCUUAAUCUUAUGCUUACCGUGGUAACAGACCAUCAAUUGUUGUACUGUACGAAGUUGUACCGUCUAUGGAUGUAAAACUUGUUUUAUAACCGUCCGUGGAAUUUCACGAAGAAGCUUCUACUAUAUCUAAUAAUGAGGAUUACAAACGCAAUAAUUAAUGGAUGUGAACUUUUUUUUUAUCUUUGCAACGACGUCGUAUCCCAAGUAAUACUGUGCUUUGCAGCAUACAUAUGUAGAUGGGUAUGAAAAUAAUAUAUCCAUUACUGUACUAUGGUGUUUCGUAUGACUUUUAUCUACCAUACCUACUGACGGCAACGCAAAAUUCAAGAACAAGGGUCACGUAGCACUCCUCUACGAAGAAGUACCUAUAUACCAUUCUGAGAAACAGAAGGUGCAGCAGCGUAGUAGAUGGCUCAAAUGCUGGAAAGGGAAAACUUCGGUCCUUUGUGCUGUAAUACGAUGAAAAGAAGUUGUCGAGAAAAUGGCGGAAUGGCUAAGAUUGAGGUAGACGAGGAGAAUAGUCAGUCUAGAUGCUGAUAUUUAACCAGACGCUUCGAUUCCACGGGACGGAAACAUUGCCAAGCUCUUUUUAAUGGACGAUACACGUACCAAGUCGUCCAUCUUAAUCCAAUUUAGUUACCCUUUGUGUAUUCAUGAUAUAAGCAUAGCAACGGGUACAGAACAUUUACGAUAGGGUGGCCUUUUUGAAAGUUUAGAAGGGAGUCAGCUAACUGCGACUCUACUCUUAGUACGUCGACAUAUGCCAGGAGUGGGUCUCCACGGUGGAUGUGAAUUUAAGGGUACGUGAGAAGUGUGAGUGGCAAACAGGGUUUACAGAUACCCGUAUUGCCCUACAGGGAAAUCAAGACGGGCCAUCCUGUGGCGUUACGUACCCUUCAACAAAACCACGCAUUCCAUAUCCAAGUGGUGAAGUUCGUAGUAUGUGACGUACCACCGAAUACGGCCUAACGGAAAAGCCAUGAAAAAAACACUGGGAAUUUUAUCCUGUGAAUAUUUAAGCGAUACAUUCGACUGCCUCGUGCUUUGUCAUGGCACCGUGUGAGGUCUUGUGAGACCGAAAAAUUUGGAUCAAGAUUUUCGAGGUUACGAGGGUUCUCUGCUAUGACAACGGGAAGAUGAACGGAUGCUGUGACAAGGAUGUGGAGGAGUAACGAUGUCACCUUAAGAAGAGACUUACUGCUGAACCAAACUUCGAUUAUCUUUCAGAAAAUUACCACAUGUAACACGUUCCUUGCCGCGUGGGGCGUAUACGCCAGACGCUGCCUGAUCGGAAAGUAACAAAAAAAAGUCCAGCACGGAACGUGUUAAUAAAAUAACUGCAAUUUUGAUAUGCAGCAAAUUAACUCAGCAUCUUCCUACCAACUGACGUGUCUCACAAUCAACCUCGUACAAUGUUCACUACCCUGUUUGGCUGUUGCCGCAAGCCAACUGGUUCUGGCCCCCAACACGUACAGUUCAAACUUUGAGAUUCACUUGACGAUUGUGCUUGAUGAUUAAGACGUGCUUGUGAUUAUCUCAAAAAGUAUUCUAACUGCGAUCGAGAAGUCUUUUUAUGGAGCGUUGGACAUUUUAUGCGAAUAUUCAUGGGAACCUCUCAGCGGUAACUCAUUGCUCACACGUUAAAUCGUAUAGAAGGGAGAACAGUGGGCGCCGACCUCGAGUUCAGCUACAUGUCAACAUCCUGGAACUAUUAUGCCCCUAACUUACUACAGUGUGUUGUACGAACUUUUGUAUUUGAGACGUUAACGAAUAUUCCACGUUAUUACGUCUUACGAAGGUCAGUCAUUAUGUUUCUUUUAAAAGAAGAGUGAUAAGGGUGACUAGCGGCAGAUAUUGACAGAUGUCAAAUGAAGAAAAACGUAUGGCUGGAAAUAGUUACAGAAAUCGUUUUAAUCCAGCAGAUAAUAUUGCAGCUGCACGUUAUGACGGCAACUCGGAACACGGUGUGAGUACGAAGUUUUUCCAAGGUUCAUACAGCAAUGGCUGCAAGACGGAAGAGCAAGUUUUCUCAUUUUCCUCGUGUUCAGCUGCCUUGGAUAUAUACGGCAGAUAUAUCCGUGGUAGUAUGGACGUAAAUUACGUGACGAUAGCUGGAGGGUAACCGGAAGGCUGGUUUGCGACAUGUAAAACAUAGAGGAGAGAAGAAGAAGCAUUAGAAGCGUGGCAGCUAGGAUUGACAACGAGUCUUAAUGGAAUUCUAAUACUUCAAUCUUGUUUUAUUUUAUUCUCAACUGUAUCCGUGCUUCAGGCUGUUGAUACGUAUGUAUAUGCUGCUUUAGGAAGGAAGGCAGGUCGUAAUUCGUCGUGAACGUGACACGGGGUGGAGAACGAGACAGGAAAUUUCCUGUUGUUUGAUUUAAAGGAGAAUUUAUCUUAAUAAUAAUAUGUGAGCGGUAAAGGUUGGGCAACUGGCACGCAUCCAAUAUUCUCGAGGACAAAUAAUCCCAGGUGUUUGCCAACAGCGGUUAAUCUUCCGUAACGCUAUCAAAUACACCCGACAAAUCCGCCUACGGUGCGACUAAUUUCGCUCUAAUCGACAUGAAAGUACACUUGACUUCCGGUAAUCGCAACAGCACGCCCAAGGAGAUCGACCCUCGUGAAGAGCCUAGACCAUUUUUUUUCCUGGAGCUCCUAUCCAUUCUGACCGGAAAUGUUCGGCGCCGCACCGGAAGCAUCCUAGAAAAAUUACUCCAACACCCCCAGCACUCCGGAGGGACUUGAAACGAGCGGUGAUUUCAUUCUCCUGGACUGAUUGACUGUUCGGAAUGCCCUUUUUCUUCCUUUCUUUAUUCUUUUUCUUUCGCCGGGAAACCGGAUGCUGAACGGGUGGAAAUAAUAGCGACAUUCAAAGUUUUCAGAUAUCGUUUUAUUCCUCGAGAAGGGUUCAAGAUACACGUGCAUAUGAACGAGUAAGAAUGCCUGAUGUGAUUAUUUCUUAUCAUUGUAGGUGACGUGGAGGUACGACUAAUGUUUAAUGAAAAAUAGUCAUGUUAAAUAAAUAGAGACAAGUAUA
Cephus cinctus (wheat stem sawfly) is the source of this 4012-nucleotide long non-coding RNA. RefSeq lists it as uncharacterized. The transcript is spliced from 15 exons. The record is from RefSeq and is a predicted model, not a curated record. Lineage: Eukaryota; Metazoa; Arthropoda; Insecta; Hymenoptera; Cephidae.